GACGAACGCUGGCGGCGUGCUUAACACAUGCAAGUCGAACGGAAAGGCCCUGCUUUUGUGGGGUGCUCGAGUGGCGAACGGGUGAGUAACACGUGAGUAACCUGCCCUUGACUUUGGGAUAACUUCAGGAAACUGGGGCUAAUACCGGAUAGGAGCUCCUGCUGCAUGGUGGGGGUUGGAAAGUUUCGGCGGGUGGGGAUGGACUCGCGGCUUAUCAGCUUGUUGGUGGGGUAGUGGCUUACCAAGGCUUUGACGGGUAGCCGGCCUGAGAGGGUGACCGGCCACAUUGGUACUGAGAUACGGCCCAGACUCCUACGUGGGGCAGCAGUGGGGAAUAUUGCACAAUGGGCGGAAGCCUGAUGCAGCAACGCCGCGUGCGGGAUGACGGCCUUCGGGUUGUAAACCGCUUUCGCCUGUGACGAAGCGUGAGUGACGGUAAUGGGUAAAGAAGCACCGGCUAACUACGUG
This 468-nucleotide ribosomal RNA is filed under the name uncultured bacterium. RNAcentral's name for it is "partial 16S ribosomal RNA". It matches the Rfam family "Bacterial small subunit ribosomal RNA", at positions 28 to 507 of the family's 1533-position model. The record is from RNAcentral.